This 722-nucleotide ribosomal RNA is filed under the name uncultured Pseudomonadota bacterium. RNAcentral describes it as "bacterial SSU rRNA". It matches the Rfam family "Bacterial small subunit ribosomal RNA", at positions 61 to 777 of the family's 1533-position model. The record is from RNAcentral. Lineage: Bacteria; Pseudomonadati; Pseudomonadota.
GUCGAGCGGCAGCGCGGGGGCAACCCUGGCGGCGAGCGGCGUACGGGUGAGUAAUACAUCGGAACAUGUCCUGUCGUGGGGGAUAGCUCGGCGAAAGCCGGAUUAAUACCGCAUACGAUCUACGGAUGAAAGUGGGGGAUCGCAAGACCUCACGCGAUUGGAGUGGCCGAUGUCGGAUUAGCUAGUUGGUGGGGUAAAGGCUUACCAAGGCGACGAUCCGUAGCUGGUCUGAGAGGAUGAUCAGCCACACUGGAACUGAGACACGGUCCAGACUCCUACGGGAGGCAGCAGUGGGGAAUUUUGGACAAUGGGGGCAACCCUGAUCCAGCCAUGCCGCGUGAGUGAAGAAGGCCUUCGGGUUGUAAAGCUCUUUCGGACGGAAAGAAACGGUGCGGGCUAAUACCCCGUUACUAAUGACGGUACCGUAAGAAGAAGCACCGGCCAACUACGUGCCAGCAGCCGCGGUAAUACGUAGGGUGCAAGCGUUAAUCGGAAUUACUGGGCGUAAAGCGUGCGCAGGCGGCGGCUUGUGUCAGGUGUGAAAGCCCCGGGCUUAACCUGGGAAUUGCGCUUGAAACUAGGUCGCUAGAGUUCAUUAGAGGGGGGUGGAAUUCCAGGUGUAGCAGUGAAAUGCGUAGAGAUCUGGAGGAACACCGAUGGCGAAGGCAGCCCCCUGGGGUGAAACUGACGCUCAGGCACGAAAGCGUGGGGAGCAAACAGGA